CGCGACGGAUCUUCGGAUUCCAAGUAGAGUGGCGCACGGGUGAGNUANCACGUGGAUAACCUGCCCUAGAGUCCGGGAUAACACUUCGAAAGGGGUGCUAAUACCGGAUAAGCCCACGCUCUCUUCGGAGGAAGUGGGAAAAGAUUUAUUGCUCUGGGAUGGGUCCGCGGUCCAUUAGCUAGUUGGUGGGGUAAUGGCCUACCAAGGCUGCGAUGGAUAGCUGGUCUGAGAGGAUGAUCAGCCACACUGGAACUGAGACACGGUCCAGACUCCUACGGGAGGCAGCAGUGGGGAAUUUUGCGCAAUGGGGGAAACCCUGACGCAGCAAUACCGCGUGAAGGAUGAAGGCCCUUGGGUCGUAAACUUCUGUCAGAGGGGAAGAAAUACUCGCAAGAGUGCUGACGGUACCCUCAAAGGAAGCACCGGCUAACUCCGUGCCAGCAGCCGCGGUAAUACGGAGGGUGCAAGCGUUGUUCGGAAUUAUUGGGCGUAAAGAGCAUGUCGGCGGACUGUUAAGUCUGGUGUGAAAGCCCGGGGCUCAACCCCGGAAGUGCAUUGGAUACUGGCAGUCUUGAGUAUGGGAGAGGAAAGUGGAAUUCCGAGUGUAGGAGUGAAAUCCGUAGAUAUUCGGAGGAACACCAGUGGCGAAGGCGGCUUUCUGGACCAAUACUGACGCUGAGAUGCGAAAGCGUGGGG
Molecule: ribosomal RNA, 696 nt
Filed under: bacterium enrichment culture
Lineage: Bacteria
Description: bacterial SSU rRNA
Rfam family: Bacterial small subunit ribosomal RNA
Source: RNAcentral